AUGGCCCGGCAAAAAGAUAAGGUACAUAGCUGGAAGACAUUCAUUCAAUCUGGCAAAACUUGUCUCACAUAAACAUAUAAAACAAAAAAGUUGUUCUAUAUAGCCCAUCAUUGAUUGCUCUAAACCCUUAUUAGGAGAAAAAUUAUAUUUCCAUCUACCAAAGGAACCAAGUAAGCUGCAUCGAGCUUCUCUUGCAAUCGACCAAAGGGAAACCAACUUUGUCGUUUGAACAUAGCAGAAUUUUCUAAGAAGUGGCAUGGAUCGAGGACCAACAGAGUUUUGUAUGAAUUUGGGGGAUCCACAAGAAUUUUGAAGGCAUCCGGGAUGGGAUCCACAAGAAUUUCAUGUUAUAAUCAGAACUGCUUUAGAUUUUUCUAAGAAGUGAUGGACGACCAACAGAGUUUUGUACGAAUUUGGAUGUAAUUAUUGCAAAGUAAUAAUAAGGUGUUUUUAUGUUUUA
Molecule: non-coding RNA, 460 nt
Organism: Prunus avium (sweet cherry)
Lineage: Eukaryota; Viridiplantae; Streptophyta; Magnoliopsida; Rosales; Rosaceae
Source: RefSeq, a predicted model, not a curated record